CUUGGUGAUGGGGAACAUCUUGGACGCCCAUUCGGGUAACAGAGUAGCUAUUAUGGCAAAGCUAGAAUACAUUGCUGGGGCAACAAAGCUACCAUUAUGGGAAAGCUAGAACACGUUGCUACAGACAAAGAUGGGAACCGUUGUGAGAAAGCUAGAACACGUUGUCGUAGGUAACAAAGGGGACCAUCGUGAGAAAGCUCAAACACAUUGCCGCGGGUAACAAAGUGACUGUCAUGAGAAAGCUAGAACACGUUGUUAUGGGCAACAAAGUGACCGUCAUGAGAAAGCUAAAACACGUUGCUAUGAGCAACAAGGUGACAAUCAUGACCGGCUUGAAUAUUUUGUUGGGGGACUUCGGUAACGGUAGAAUCCACUCAUUGGGGGACCGUUGCUGUGGGACUCACUUGUAAUGCUACGUCGCUUGGGUAUCGGCCAACGGAAUGACCCACUAGACUCUAAAUUACGCCAAGCGGUGUUGGCUUUACUCUCUCUUGAUAUCUUUUCACGCCUCGAGUGCUACUCUCGUAGUCCAUCAAUGUGUGUUUUGGGUCAGGGGAAGGCUGAUGCACAGUGUAUGUCAUGGCAUGUGAGUGGUAAUGGGAUUGUGUGCAAUGAUUGGCUCUCUGCUUGUACAGCGAACACCCCUCGUCCAUCAUUCUUCAGUCUCGUUUGAAGAGCUAGUCACACCUUGAGCAUGCCGGUGUUCCUGCAUUGUAUUGCCUCAUUUGAUGGUAAUUGGCCCUCGUUAUGCCCCUGCUUUUCGAUUCUUACGACAUUGUGGUGCUAAGUUGACAUGGAAGUACUACCCAUGCUCUCCGCAAAUGCUUCGUGCCUCGUCGCGUAGCACUUACGGCCCUAUAGGCUACUACUCUUGUUUUCGGAUGCCAAACUUUCAAAGGAUGCAUGGUUUCUUGCUGUUGCUUACCCACAAAGCAUUCGUCCUUCGGUGCGUACGAUGGUCAUGCCUAUCUUGGUUUGUCUAACUAGCUUGGAUGGGCUCAUGUGGUGCUAGUGUCGUGAAGGAAUGCUACCUGGUUGAUCCUGCUAGUAGUCAUAUGUUUGUCUCAAAGAUUAAGCCAUGAAUAUGUAAGGAUGAACUAAUUCAGAUUGUGAAACUGCAAAUGGCUCAUUAAAUUAGUUAUAGUUUGUUUGAUAGUAUCUACUAGUUGGAUAACCAUAGUAUUUCUAGGGUUAAUAUGUGCAACAAGUCCCGACUUCCGAAAGGGAUGCAUUUAUUAGAUACAAGGUUAACGGGGGCUUAUCCCAUUGCUUUGAUGAUUCAUGAUAACUUGACGGAUCGCAAAGCCUUCUGUCAUAACCCGCAAUUUCAACGCCUAGUUGGCACCCCAUUGCGAUGGUGCCUGCAGAUGUUCACGCAAUGUGAUUUCUGCCUAGUGCUCUGAAUGUCAAAGUGAAGAAAUUCAACGAAGCGCGGGUAAAUAGUAUGAGUAACUAUGACUCUCUUAAGGUAGCCAAAUGCCUCGUCAUCUAAUUAGUGACGCGCAUGAAUGGAUUAACGAGGUUCUCACUUUCCUUAUCUACUAUCCAGCGAAACCAUAGCCAAGGAAACGGGUUUGGCAGAAAAUCAGUAGGGAAAGAAGACUCUGUUGAGCUUGACUCUAGUCCGACUUUGUGAAAUGACUUGAGAGGUUGUAAGACCAGAAACGGUGAAAGUGAAAUACCAAUACUUUCAACGUUAUUUCACUUAUUCCAUGAGUCGGAGGCGGCGCCCUACCCCUCAUUUUGGACCGAAGGCCUACCUCGGCGGGCUGAUCUGGGUAAAAGACAUUGUCUGGUGGGAAGUUUUGCUGGGGCCGCACAUCUGUUAAAAGAUAAUGCAUGCGUUCUAAGAUAAGCUCAACGAGAAUAAAAAUCUUGCGUGGAACAAAAGGGUAAAAGCUUGUUUGAUUCUACUUUCCAGUAUGAAUAUGAACUAUGAAAGUGUGGCCUAACGAUCCUUUAGACCUUCAGAAUUUGAAGUUAGAGGUGUCAGAAAAAUUACCACAGGGAUAACCGGCUUGUGGCAGCCAAGAGUUCAUAGCGACAUUGCUUUUUGAUCCUUCGAUGUCUACUAUUGCUAUCAAUGUGAAGUAGAAUUCACCAAGUGUUGGAUUGUUCCCCCACCAAUAGGGAACGUAAGUUGGGUUUAGAUUGUUGUGAGGCAAGUUUGUUUUACCCUACUAAGUGUCGCAAUAAUAAUUCAACCUAGUACGAGAGGAACCAUUGAUUUGCGCAAUUGGUCAUCGCGCUUGGUUGAAAAACUAGUGGCACGAAGCUACCAUGCACUUGAUUAUGGCUGAAUGCCUAGGUCGGAAUCCAGGUGAGAAACGAUGCAUGCGCCCGCUGUUCAUUUGCCGACCAACAGCAGGUGCCUUUUGGCCCCUAAAGGCACGUGUCGUAGGUGAAACUCAGGCGAUAAAUGAGCCCUCGGGCCAACUUAAAAGUAUAAUCCCUAUUGAGCAGUGAGUAGAAUCCUUUACAGAUGACUUAAAAACACGACGAGGUAUUGUAAGUGGCAGAGUGGCCUUGCUACCAUAAUCUAUUAAGAUUCAGCCCUUCAUCACUUUGAUUCGUUCCUCCCACCAGC
This is a ribosomal RNA of 2587 nucleotides. The stretch from base 1092 to 2572 matches the Rfam family "Eukaryotic large subunit ribosomal RNA", at positions 1889 to 3399 of the family's 3401-position model.